RNAcentral lists this long non-coding RNA (419 nucleotides) under Nicotiana benthamiana. RNAcentral describes it as "long non-coding RNA (NBEN_LNC007313)". The record is from RNAcentral. Lineage: Eukaryota; Viridiplantae; Streptophyta; Magnoliopsida; Solanales; Solanaceae.
CUUUCCCUCAAAGCUGGUAUAGACAAGUUGCCUCUUUUGAUAGACUGCUUUUAAAUCAGUCAAAAGUGUUCAAUUGAUAUGGAAAUUUUGGGAAGGUUCUUAAAGGAAAAGAAAGUAAGAAGAAUGAUUGGAAGCAAUGGAUCACUAAAGGGAUUCAGGAUACAAGUGAGGCUCUGAAGACUCACGCUAACAGGAUGAGAAAUUGGUGGGGAGCAAAGAAAGCACAAUGGAAGAAGAAUUCCAAAGCCAGUAAGGGGGAGCUAUAAUGAUGUGCAAUGUAGUCUGAUAUUGACUAGAAAAGUAAGAAAAAGCUACGCACAAAAGAGACUGGAAAUUUGUAAUUCUCUGUCUUACGCUCUGCCCACGAGAUUUUGUUUCUCUGCGAACAUUAUUAUCAUGUUGGUACAUUUGUUUUAGGU